RNAcentral lists this ribosomal RNA (513 nucleotides) under uncultured bacterium. RNAcentral describes it as "partial 16S ribosomal RNA". It matches the Rfam family "Bacterial small subunit ribosomal RNA", at positions 29 to 523 of the family's 1533-position model. The record is from RNAcentral.
AACGAACGCUGGCGGCAUGCCUAAUACAUGCAAGUCGAGCGAACAGAUGAAGUGCUUGCACUUCUGACGUUAGCGGCGAACGGGUGAGUAACACGUAAGGAAUCUACCUAUAAGCGGGGGAUAACAUUCGGAAACGGGUGCUAAUACCGCAUAAUAUCUUCUUCCGCAUGGAAGAAGAUUGAAAGACGGCUCUGCUGUCACUUAUAGAUGACCUUGCGGUGCAUUAGUUAGUUGGUGGGGUAACGGCCUACCAAGACGAUGAUGCAUAGCCGACCUGAGAGGGUGAUCGGGCACAUUGGGACUGAGACACGGCCCAAACUCCUACGGGAGGCAGCAGUAGGGAAUCUUCCGCAAUGGGCGAAAGCCUGACGGAGCAAUGCCGCGUGAGUGAAGAAGGCCUUCGGGUCGUAAAACUCUGUUAUAAGGGAAGAACAAAUUGUAGAGUAACUGCUACAGUCUUGACGGUAUCUUAUCAGAAAGCCACGGCUAACUACGUGCCAGCAGCCGCAGUAA